CUUGUCAGUGCUCAUUGAUUUUGCAUCUACGUUCAUGAGCAGUGAAGGCGCCUAUUAUGAAGAUGGCGGAUAAAAAAUGCUAUUCCAAUUUAGGGUGAAAUGAAUGAUCCUAGUUUUGAGGAUAUCACUGGAAUUAAGUUGCGAAAACAGGCGUCAAGAGUUGUAUAUGGUUUAAUUAUUUACUCAUUUUCAUUCACAAUAUGCGCUGUGGAAAUGCUGCUUGGGAAGUUUCUAUGGAUUUGUGAUUUGAAGCGUGAGUUUGCAGUUUGUC
RNAcentral lists this unclassified non-coding RNA (271 nucleotides) under Hevea brasiliensis (rubber tree). Lineage: Eukaryota; Viridiplantae; Streptophyta; Magnoliopsida; Malpighiales; Euphorbiaceae. The record is from RNAcentral.